Molecule: microRNA precursor, 101 nt
Filed under: Oryzias latipes (Japanese medaka)
Lineage: Eukaryota; Metazoa; Chordata; Actinopteri; Beloniformes; Adrianichthyidae
Description: microRNA ola-mir-1 precursor (ola-mir-1-2)
Gene: ola-mir-1-2
Rfam family: mir-1 microRNA precursor family (bases 11-88)
About the family: This family represents the microRNA (miRNA) mir-1 family. miRNAs are transcribed as ~70nt precursors (modelled here) and subsequently processed by the Dicer enzyme to give a ~22nt product.
Source: miRBase by way of RNAcentral
ACAAUUACUUCCCUGGGGUACAUACUUCUUUAUGUACCCAUAUGAAGAUAUGAAAGCUAUGGAAUGUAAAGAAGUAUGUAUUCUCGGUGAGGUGCGAGUCU